AUUGAACGCUGGCGGCAUGCCUAACACAUGCAAGUCGAACGGCAGCACGGCAGUAGCAAUACUGUGGGUGGCGAGUGGCGGACGGGUGAGGAAUACGUCGGAAUCUGCCCAGUCGUGGGGGAUAACUAGCCGAAAGGUUAGCUAAUACCGCAUACGACCGAGAGGUGAAAGCGGGGGACCGCAAGGCCUCGCGCGAUUGGAUGAGCCGACGUCGGAUUAGCUAGUUGGAGGGUAAAGGCCCACCAAGGCGACGAUCCGUAGCUAGUCUGAGAGGAUGAUCAGCCACACUGGAACUGAGACACGGUCCAGACUCCUACGGGAGGCAGCAGUGGGGAAUAUUGGACAAUGGGCGCAAGCCUGAUCCAGCAAUGCCGCGUGUGUGAAGAAGGCCUCGGUU
This 397-nucleotide ribosomal RNA is filed under the name uncultured bacterium. RNAcentral's name for it is "bacterial SSU rRNA". It matches the Rfam family "Bacterial small subunit ribosomal RNA", at positions 29 to 424 of the family's 1533-position model. The record is from RNAcentral.